GUAUGAGCCAGGGGAGUCCUGGGGUGCACUAUGUCUGGGCCACCCCAGUGGGAUGGCUGGAGAUGAAGCAGGUGCGGGAUGGGAGCCCGGAGGCACACUACAUCGGGGCUGCCUUGACAGGAUGGUUGGAGUUGGAGUGGGUGUGGGCAGAGAGGGCCUAGGUCAUGCCAUGCUGGGACUGCCCUGGGGGGACAGCUGAGCUGGUGUGGUCCAGGGGCCUGGGGCACACUGGGGCAGCCUUAACUGGUCAGCUAGAGCAUCUGGACCAUUCUCCCACUCACGUUAUCAAGGUGGAGGGGGAGCACAAACAAAUGGUGCUUGCCAGUGCCUCCAACUCCAGAGACAGUUCCAGUGGUUCCUCGCCCAUUUGGCAGACAUUCUAAGAGGGUGAAGUACAAGCUGCCUCCUAAAGCAGAGACCCUAAAGAGAAGUAAUGUCUGUGGAGAAGUACAGGUGGUCCAAAGGCCGACUCAACAGGGAAGCCUCUUGGUGUUUGUCAGUGCACAGACUGAAGAGGAGGAAGCAGUGCGUGAGAGGUCUUCCCAACCUUUCCCACCGGAGUAAUGCAGCCACGUGCUCUCCUUUCGGAGAGUGGCGUUAGUGGUACAAGUGGCGAUGUGAUCACCACAGCAAGUAGUCACAAAAGCAAGCAGAUCCCACCUCUGCAACCUACCUUCUGGUUGCCCUGUCAUGACCCACAUGGGGCUGUACUGAGGCCACGACACCGGCAGACUGGGGCCUGCCACAGAGGGACAGUCUGGUGAAUUCUACCAUGCUGUGCACUUUUCGUUGCUUUGGCCUCGUGCAUUCUCGUUUCUUAUGGAGAAGCCAGAUGGACCUAAUUUCUCUGCGCGAGAGUGAACUCCCCAGUAACUGAAUAGGCUAACCUCACACUGGAUCAGCCUGGACCGUGUAUCCAUCACUAAACAAAUCACUGCGGCAGGGAGACUGAGAUGGACCGCUUGGCUAAGGCAGGAUUUAGAUCUGCCAUUCUGCUAUUUGUUUUCUUUCAUAUAUCUAUGUCUUUUUUUGUUUCUCUAUGUCUCCAGUACUGCCUUCUUUUGUUUUAAAUAAAUAUUUUCUAGUACG
RNAcentral lists this long non-coding RNA (1089 nucleotides) under Equus caballus (horse). RNAcentral's name for it is "lncRNA (ENSECAG00000057394.1)". Lineage: Eukaryota; Metazoa; Chordata; Mammalia; Perissodactyla; Equidae. The record is from RNAcentral.